Molecule: ribosomal RNA, 408 nt
Filed under: uncultured bacterium
Lineage: Bacteria
Description: partial 16S ribosomal RNA
Rfam family: Bacterial small subunit ribosomal RNA
Source: RNAcentral
GACGAACGCUGGCGGCGUGCUUAACACAUGCAAGUCGAACGAAGUGGCGCACGGGUGAGUAACGCGUAAUCAACCUGCCCUUCAGAGGGGGACAACAGUUGGAAACGAAUGCUAAUACCGCAUACUGAAGGAGGGGAUUGCGUCUGAUUAGGGAGUUGGAGGGGUAACGGCCCACCAAGGCGAUGAUCAGUAGCCGGUCGUGGAGGAUGAACGGCCACAUUGGGACUGAGACACGGCCCAGACUCCUACGGGAGGCAGCAGUGGGGAAUAUUGCACAAUGGGCGCAAGCCUGAUGCAGCCAUGCCGCGUGAGUGAUGACGGCCUUCGGGUUGUAAAGCUCUGUUAAUCGGGACGCGGUACCGGAAGAGAAAGCCACGGCUAACUACGUGCCAGCAGCCGCGGUAAUAC